AUGCGGCUCCUCGCCGCGCUACCUGCGGCGGCUCCAUCAGGUAAUGUUCGGCGAAUCCCACCACCGCGAAGCACAACCCGAGGUCCCUUCGCUCUGUGGAGCCCUCCCAUCCAGCUAGAUCCAGCGCUUGAGGCCACCACAACCCACCCGCGACCCAUCCCGCAUGGCUUGGUUCCGGGCGUCGGAUCUGUUGCCGGUGGCCAUGUCGUUGUCGUCCUCGUCUCAUCCACUUGCGGGGAGGAACGUCCAGUGGACAACCUUGCUACGGCUCAGGAUGAAGCAGCCACGAGCUUCCUCUUCCGGCUUCAGGUGAGUUGGUCCACUCCUCCCUCUGCUCUGGUUCGUGGCAGAUCAGGAGAAAUUUUUGUUCUGGAGGUGUUAGGAUUUUCUACUGCUUGGGAGCAAGUGCCUGCUGGUUGA
Molecule: ribosomal RNA, 420 nt
Filed under: Triticum aestivum (bread wheat)
Lineage: Eukaryota; Viridiplantae; Streptophyta; Magnoliopsida; Poales; Poaceae
Description: partial small subunit ribosomal RNA
Source: RNAcentral